CCUAGCUAUCCAAUUUCUCCAAAUCUGUCGCCGCUCGCUCCAAAGCGCCAGCGCCCGCGCCUUCAUAUCCUCUUGGCACUGCGGCCGCGCGCGGGAGCAAACUUUCGUGGCCGCCCCGCAGCCAAAACCUGCAGCCGCCCCAUCCAAAGCCCUUCCUCUCCUCAGAAUUUCUGUCGUCUCUUAGAAAUUUGUGCGCGCCCCAGCCUUGCUGUGCGCCGGCUUUGCCUCCACCAGCCGCCAGUCCUGCCUCCCCCGGUCCGCUGCCGGACCUGCCUCCGCCGGCCACGCCUAUCUCGGCCGGCCGCCGGGCCCUACCCAUCGAUUCGCCGGCCGCCGACCACCGGCCCUACCUCCACCGGGACGCCUACCUUCGCCGACCACUGGGCCCUGCCUCUGUACGCUGGCUGCCCCCAAAUCUGACACUUCAUUAUUGCCUCAGCUGCUGAUCUUUAGAUCUGCAGUACAACAGAAAUUUGUAUUGCAUCUUAAGGGAACGGGCUGGUGCUCAUCUUGCAAGCAUAGCAGCUGGUGAGAACUUGGUGAAGGCCUUGGUGACGGUAUGGUUCUGUAGUUGCUAUCCUUCCUCUCAUAUUGCUGUAUUCUAAUAUUCUGAUUUGUUGCGUGUACACUAUCUGUUUUUUUGUAUUUUUUAGUAUAUAAAGAUCUUUUGAUGGUACAUAUCAAAAGAUUGGUUCUUUUGAUGCUAUGAAUCUAAUUUUCCCAACAAUAUUUAUCUUUAGCAGGAAGAAACCAGGAGGCUAAAGAACUUAUCUUUUCUAAGUAACAAAAUAUUCAUCUUGUUCUUUUUCAAAUGAUUUCUCUUGUUUCUUUCAUAAGUUAUUAAAGGGUACCGGUGCAUACUCCUUAAAAUGCUUGCUUUUGUUGUUACUUUCAACAUUAUAUUUUUGUUUUCCCUUUGUUGCCAUUAUAUUUUCCAUAUUCAUAAUAUGAACUAAAAAAAAUACAUUUAGUUAAAUAAACAUCCCUUUGGCUUUUGCUCCACCAAUAUUUCAAACAGAGAGGAGCCAAUAAACAAUAAUCAUGUACUUAUGUUUUAUCACAUUAUAAUUUAGUAGUAUAUGGAUGGGGUUGGAUAUAUGUAUGACCACUAUAUUAAUACAUGAGACCUUUUACAAUGCUUGGAAAUACUUGCGGCUGAUCCAACUUGGAUAACUUGUUCUGUUUGGUUUCCUAGUGUUGUAAUAGGCCGAGGCAUUUUUAAGAAAUCUUGUAGGAUGAUGCAACUAUUUGGUCGUUGCAUACUAAUGUCCGUCUUUUUAUUGGUGCGGGAGGGAAUGCCGGGUCCUGAGUACAAUGAAAUUGUUAGGAAGGUGUUUGAUGAUGAAGAACAAGGAUACGAGUUUUAUAACAACUACGCUAAGGAGAAAGGAUUCAGUGUCAGGAAAGACUAUUGUGAGUGGGACAUUGGCCACAAUGAGAGGACUCUUCGACAUUUUGUUUGCAGUUGUCAAGGUUUCCGCAAAGAAAAGGAGCCGUCCCCUUCUCCUUGUUGAUGAGGCUGUUACUGAAUCUUGCUGCCAUUCUUUGUACAUUUUAGACCAAGAUCACCGCUUCUUUCGUUCAGAUGUUCUAAUACUGUAGGCUGCGUUCCCAGGGAGCAGUGGUUCUAGGUUCUUAAUUCUUACUCCUCUGUGUUUGGUUCGCUUUAGGAAUUAUCAUUGGAAUUCUUUGACAUGAUGUAUAUUUGAAGGGGUAAAUUGAGCUGCUCGCCAUAGCGAUCUGUCUUUGGUCA
This is a long non-coding RNA of Panicum virgatum (switchgrass), 1753 nucleotides long. RefSeq lists it as uncharacterized. The record is from RefSeq and is a predicted model, not a curated record. NCBI's taxonomy places the organism in Eukaryota, Viridiplantae, Streptophyta, Magnoliopsida, Poales, Poaceae. The transcript is spliced from 3 exons.